GUUGGUGGAAAGUUUGCUUCAUUUCAGAUGCUGGAAACUUCGGGGGGGCAGGGGGAGGACAGGGAGGACAUCUGUCCAAAGCCUGACUCCCCCCACCACUCCCCGCUGAAGGAGGAAACAGAUCAGACUCCAUCUUGAAAGCAGGACUCCAUCUUGGGCCGGACUAUGGACUUUGAGCUAUAUGCCCAGUAUCUAUGGAAACAGCAUACCAAAUGGAAAACCAGACCCCAGGAUGGAAGAGCCCUAGUGCUCGUACCUAGCCUCUCCUCGCCUAAAAGAAUACCCUAAUUAUCUGUGUAACCGAAUAGAAUCAUAAAUUCUAUUAUGCUUAUUGUGGUAUGACCAUACGCCUAUUGAUAAUUGUCCACUAUUAACUACCUAGGCUUAGGGCUUACGAAUCACAGGUUAACUUUGAUUGUAUCUUUCUUUUCUUUUGUUCAGACUAGUUUCAGGGAAUUUGGGGAGGCGGGUUUGAGCGCGUACACUUAGGGUUUAUAAGGUUUUCACAAAAACUGGUCGGGGUCCUUGGCUAAGAGGAGACUCUGCCUUGGGCCCGCCGGUGUAAUACACUGCACUCCACUAUCUGCAUUGUCCUUCUGAGUGAGUUUGUUUCCCGCAACGCGUGGCUACAACACUGCCACUGGCAACCAGUGGGGCGAGAGCUUUUCUAGACAGAAGUAGGGGUGACUACAGGCAGAAACAGCACAGUCAGCCCCGACAGUCAUCUUCAGAUUGGUCAUGAGUGGUCUGACCAGUGUCAUCUUGAUUUUUUUAGGUACAGUUAGUCUUCAGUUCCCGGAGAAGGCGAUGGCACCCCACUCCAGUACUCUUGCCUGGAAAAUCCCAUGGACGGAGGAGCCUGGUGGGCUGCAGUCCACGGGGUCGCGAAGAGUCGGACACGACUGAGCGACUUCCCUUUCACUUUUCACUUUCAUGCAUUGGAGAAGGAAAUGGCAACCCACUCCAGUGUUCUUGCCUGGAGAAUCCCAGGGACGGGGGAGCCUGGUGGGCUGCCAUCUAUGGGGUCCCACAGAGUCGGACACGACUGAAGCGACUUAGCAGCAGCAGCAGCAGUCUUCAGUUCCAGGGUCUGUUUGUUCCCAUUUCUUUGUGGCCAGUUCUCAGAAUUGCAGCAGCUCAUGUUGUGGGUAAAGUCUGGUCAUCAUAGAGUUAACUUCUCCACCUGGGGUUUCAUUUAUAAGACAGCUCACCGGAUGUAGCUCAGAAUAUUAGCUACAGCCCUUGAGGAAGAACUAAAGGUCCUUGACUGCUUAAUGACUACAUUAUUAUUAUUUAGUCUCCUUUGACGGUUUUCCUUUGUUUCCGCAUUUCUCACUUCUCCGAUUAAACUUACUCUUUGACUAAAGUUUUCCACAGACAGAAGGCAGGCAAAGUACGCGUUGGGGGCUGGGGGGAGGGGGCAAGGACCGUAAGGUGCUGCUCCGUUUCAGUUCCAGGUAUGAGCCUGUCGUGAUUCUGAGAGCUGAAGGAGCAGGAGGGAUCAACUGCCCAGCAUCUCUCACAGUAUUCCUAGGAUCCUCUCGGGCAGGAUAGCUCAGAACCAAACCCCAGUCCUUGCUCAGCCCACAGGAGGCAGAGUCCCGCCCCCACCCCCCAGGCCUGAACUGUCUCCUGUCCGCCUUCAGGGCUUGCUCAGAUCAGAAGCACCCCCUUCUCCCAGCUGGGGGCUCAGACUCAUCGCCCUUAACCCGGGCUCUACGCAGUUCAGUCACUCAGUCGUGUCCAACUCUUUGUGACCCCGUGGACUGCAGCACGCCGGGCUUCCCUCUCCAUCACCAACUCCCAGAGCUUGCUCAAAGCCAUGUCCAUCGAGUUGGUGAUACCAUCCAACCAUCUCAUCCUCUGUCGUCCACUUCUCCUUCUGCCCUCAGUCUUUCCCAGCAUC
Bos taurus (domestic cattle) is the source of this 1906-nucleotide long non-coding RNA. Lineage: Eukaryota; Metazoa; Chordata; Mammalia; Artiodactyla; Bovidae. The record is from Ensembl.